Lemur catta (Ring-tailed lemur) is the source of this 812-nucleotide long non-coding RNA. RefSeq lists it as uncharacterized. The transcript is spliced from 4 exons. The record is from RefSeq and is a predicted model, not a curated record. NCBI's taxonomy places the organism in Eukaryota, Metazoa, Chordata, Mammalia, Primates, Lemuridae.
GGAAAUAGAGCACUGGCACCAACUUUUAACAAGUUGGCACUUUGCGUUCUUGAGAUCCUUUGCCAGCACAAGUUCACAGGAUGCCACUCCAGGAUUUUCAGUGGUGCGUGGCAGCAUCGUGGCCCUGGGCAAAACUGCAAAGUAGGUAAAGUGUAUCUUUGCAGCGUUCUCCUCCUCUGUCUUUCCUGACCUUCCCCCGAAUUUUCUGGAGCCCGUCUCAUCUAUUCCCAGGAUCCCCGGGCUGUCUCCUAGCGCCCAUUGAGGCCUGACCUCUGUGAUGCUCCAAGUUCCAAACUCAGCCUCCUCCCCCACUGCUGAAGAAAGUUUUGUUCCUCUGUUCCCAUGGUCUAACCUAGGAGGAAUGCAGGCUAAUAACAAUAUCCUACAUUCAGAUUCUGGAAAUAUGCAGAGCACCGUGCUACAAGGACUUAAAAAAUAUACUGGCUUUCUUUAUUUAGUGCCUUCAUUUACACAGAAUUACCUCUUGCAUAUCUUUCUGUGCUAAUGGUUCCAAAAGAUAGUCAUCAGUGAGCAGAGGUCCAUGGACAACUCAUCUGAUUAUCAGCGACUGGAGCAGAAGUGUCUCCUCGAGCUAUACUUUGGGCUUAUAAAGUUAUCUGUCUUGAACUGGAAGAUCUAAAAAGACCUUGUUCUGCUGCUUCCUGUGGAUGAAGGAGUACUCGUCUUCCCUGACACCAAAGGGAGAAUGAAGAGCUCUGUCUCCUACUGCGAUUUCAAGCGACCUUCCUUUCACAAGAGUUAAACCAUGUGAGGUUUAACUCCAAGUAUGUAUUCAGCAUUAAUAAAAUAUA